Molecule: long non-coding RNA, 1300 nt
Organism: Bombus pyrosoma
Lineage: Eukaryota; Metazoa; Arthropoda; Insecta; Hymenoptera; Apidae
Exons: 3
Source: RefSeq, a predicted model, not a curated record
UCCCACUCCAACAAAUAAAAGAAUAUAAAUACUCCUCCCAAAAUUACCCGAGCUAGUCUGCAGUCUGUAUAAGUGCAAACUACCCUGAACUGUAAAGUCUAUCGUUGCGAACCACGAACGUUAUAUCAUUCAUUUUAUUGUACAAUUGUGUGGAAAUAAAGAGUUCGAUCUCCUGUUUUGAGAUCGACAUCUUUUCUGUAAUUCGUUGAAUUAUUACGCGACAAUGGCAACGGCGCACGUGUGACAUUAAUCACAUUUCAACCUACAUCAGAGAUAAGACAUCGACCCCCGACCUUGGGAACCUUCUCCACGUCAUAACCUACACCGAGCCUCUCAACAUCCUCAAACCAAAACGCAUAUAAGCCGAGAUUUCAGCCAGCUCGGGCAAUUCUUGUUCUAGUUCCUGUUCUUGUACAGCCCCUUUCUCCGGUUCAGUGUCAUUCUAUUUCUUUUUACGUGACACACGCAGCACACAGCAGCGAGAUGACAACGAAAUAAUGUGACUAGUAGAUAGCGGUUGUACCGAUCACAUAAUUAACAAUCUGUAGCGGUCAAAGAGAAUGGAACAUAUGGAAUGAAAAGUAUAUUGAAAAGGAUGAAGCCGCACGUAGUAGUAUGAGUAAAAAGGAAAGAUAGUGUCACACGUUCAAGAGGGCCACCCGCUCCGAAAUAGUAAUCAAGUAGACGAAAACAUCCUGCAUGCCAUAGCUAUCGAAACAAUAACAAAACAGUGACUGAAUAACCGUCUCUGAUAUACAUCCGACGAUAACCCCUCCAAAGGGACUAAAACCUCACUAUAAAAACCCUCCAAAAUUAGCGCUCGAUACCUCAUUCUGUUAUAAUUCUUCACUCUGUUGGAUUUAUACAAUAAAAUUUCCAUCAUCUUAUACGAAGUUCAAUUCCUUCACCUUAUUCGUGAAACGUUCGAACUGCGACGCGAGAUCACCGGCGAUCUAUCGGUUUAGUGAUUUCUCGUGUCCCCGACGUGACAAUAGCAUAGGAUGCUAGGACAUGUAAAUUUUAGAUACUUAAAUAUUUUGGGUAAAGAGCAGCUAGUGACAGAUAUACCGAAUAAAUUUGAAAAGGAUUUGUUGAAAUGUAGGAUGUGUAUAGAAAGUAAAAAGCAUUUACCUUUCAAAAAUAAUCGAACUAAGGCUAGGAAGAUAAUGGGAAUUAUUCAUACGGGCGUGUGCGGUCCCUUUAAGACUACCGGAUUAGAUGGAGAGAAAUAUUUUAUUUCAUUUAUCGAUGAUUAUAGUAAAGUAGCUAGGAUCUAUUGUAUAAAAUCAAAAGAUGAGGU